Molecule: ribosomal RNA, 285 nt
Filed under: Triticum aestivum (bread wheat)
Lineage: Eukaryota; Viridiplantae; Streptophyta; Magnoliopsida; Poales; Poaceae
Description: partial small subunit ribosomal RNA
Source: RNAcentral
AUGGCUGUGUUUGAAAGUUUCUAUCAGCUGGCUGACGGAGAUUUUGGCGCGCUGAACCGUGCCCUCAUCGUGAUGCUGCCCAAAAAGGAUGGUGCAAUUCAAAUGGGUGACUUCAGGCCCAUCAGCCUGAUACAUUCAGUGGCUAAGUUGAUCACAAAGGUGCUGUCCAUCAGGCUUGCAGGUGUAUUGGAUCAACUGAUCCCUCCAGCACAAAGCGCAUUCCAAAGGAAGAAAGGAAUCCAUGACAGUUUUCUCUACGUCCAGAACUGCGUCAGAAAAUUUUAG